AGAGUUUGAUUCUGGCUCAGGAUGAACGCUGGCGGCGUGCCUAACACAUGCAAGUCGAACGGUGAUAUAUAGAUGGUUUCGGUCUGAAAUAUAUCAUAGUGGCGGACGGGUGAGUAACGCGUGGAUAACCUGCCCCGUACUGGGGGAUAGCAGCUGGAAACGGCUGGUAAUACCGCAUAAGCGCACGAGGGGGCCUCCCCCUGUGUGAAAAGAUUCAUCGGUACGGGAUGGGUCCGCGUCUGAUUAGCCAGUUGGCGGGGUAACGGCCCACCAAAGCGACGAUCAGUAGCCGGCCUGAGAGGGUGAUCGGCCACAUUGGGACUGAGACACGGCCCAGACUCCUACGGGAGGCAGCAGUGGGGAAUAUUGGGCAAUGGGCGAAAGCCCUGACCCAGCAACGCCGCGUGAAGGAAGAAGGUUUUCGGAUCGUAAACUUCUGUCCUAAAUGAAGAGAGAGAGACGGUAAUUUAGGAGGAAGCCCCGGCUAACUACGUGCCAGCCGCUGC
RNAcentral lists this ribosomal RNA (506 nucleotides) under uncultured bacterium. Its description in RNAcentral is "bacterial SSU rRNA". It matches the Rfam family "Bacterial small subunit ribosomal RNA", at positions 8 to 518 of the family's 1533-position model. The record is from RNAcentral.